CCGGACUGCUCGGGGUUAAGCUGGGCAUUGGUCAGCGAGUGUGAUUCUAAGAAGUAAAUGAUAUUUAGAAGCUUCUGAGAUAAAGACAGUAUGUUGUCAUCUGUGUGAACCACAAUCUCCUUUUCAAAAUCGGAAAAACAACAACAACAAAAAAACACCCAACAAUUACUUCCUCACAAUGUUUCUGUAAGCAUAAAUUUCAAGAUUUGUGAGUACGGUGAUACAAGCCUCGUUGCAAAGGAUUACCCUAGCCAAGCUGCAAAACUUCAGUGCUACCUAUCACAGAUGGAAGACUGAUGCCAACAUAACCUUUACAUCUGGGAAACUGAGAUAAUGUGAAAUAUAAAAGGACUGGCUAGUGCAAGGGGUCCAGACUCCAAACAUUACUGGAUUAUGGAAAUACCUUAUCUACAAUGCCUGAUCUCUUUUCUAAACUUAGGAGCCAGGUUCCUGAACUAAGGUAUUUAUUUAGCUUUUUGUUUUCUUAAUUAAUAAAAAAAUAAAGAGAGAAAAAAGAAUAAAGAAUAAAUUAAAAAAAAAAAAAAAAAAGAAAGAGAGAGAGAGAGAAGAACUUCAGAAAUAGAAGUGAUGCUGCAAGCCCAGUCUUCCUUCUAUUCUGGGUAUGUUAUUGUUAUGCUUAGGCUCUUGUUUCAUGUAGGAAAACCUGGGGAUAUUGUACCUUAAAUCUGCUAUAUUUCUUUUUAAACAGGGCAGGAAAUGCACCCAGUAGUACCACUACUCAAAUUCUGCUGCUGGGAAUGAUGUUCUGCACCUUGAACUGUGGAAAUGGUGAUAACUAACCCUUUUAUUCUACUGCUGAUAUAAUUUAGUUAGUCUGACUGUUUACUGAAAUGAUUUCUGUGAACAUUAUGAACCGUUAUCCUGGAGCUAGUAACAUUUCGUGCACCUGUAUCUGCUCUUUGGAUUCCUGUUAGGCACACAUAUCCCUUUGAAUCUCUUUAUAUAAACACAUGUGUAUGAAAAUCAUAAUUGUUUUACAGAUACAUGUUUGCCCUCAUCAAAAUUUGAGUCCUAUGCUGGUGUGAAUCUGGCAUGUUGCAUCCUUUUGUGUGAGCCUGGGAGCACUGGUUAAUCUAACACAGACUCAUGCAGGAAGCUGUGGCCAGAAGUUGCUCUAGAGUACUGCUUCUGCAGAAAUCUAUGUUCUUACUAAUGCAAAAUUCAGAGAAGUAACUUAGGAAAAUUGAAGAAAGCCACUAACACUAACAGACAGAAAGCAGUCACAGUGACACACAAACACUUCUUUUUCACUGCAAGGAUUUCCUACUGAUAGCCUUCUCCCAUGCAGAAUGACUCUAUCAUUACAUUAGCAGAAAUUUUGCCAUAAAGAACCUACUCACCUAAUUUAAAUACAGUAUAAUUUACUUUAUUUUUAUUUGAGCCUCAGAUUACCCUAGAAGCAUAAAAUAUCUCAGAAACAUGUUGUUUAUUUGUGUUUAAGCUUAUAGAACAGUGUAGCCCGUUAGCACAUAUAUAGAGUAGAUCUAUCAAAUGAGAAAUAGACAUAAGGCCCAUUAAUGAUAAUGUGAGCUCUGUGCAUGAAAGUGUGAAACAAAACACUUUUGCUUGCUUUUGGAAGUAUUUUUUUUCUAUAUUAAGUGAAAAGCCUCUAAAACAAUAGGAAUGCUUAAGCCCAGCUCUCUAAAUAUGUAGUCAAACCAAUAUAAAUAUGAUUUUGUUUAAAAGAAUACAUUUGGGCUGACAACCAGUGAGCUGUGGCUCAGCGAUAAACCUUGGCAAAUGGGGUUUAUAAUGGAAACACUGACAGAUUCCCUGCCCUCACAGCACUAUCGUUAUCUAUUGCAUUGCACAUUAAACACACGUAUCACCUGAUAAAUACAUAGCAUGUUAAAUCUGAUAAAACUUUUACUGAAUCAAACAGACAAGGAGUUGAACAUGAUAAACAAGCUCCUUUAUCUGAUCCAUCAGUUUCAGAAACAGAUAAGUAAACAACUGAACAUGAUACAGUAUAUCACUGUCAUGUGAUUAAGGUCACCCCUUGGGAAUUGCCAUCCUCAGAGCAAAAGCUGUGAUUUAAAAAUCUAUCCAUGAGGUUUUAUGUAUAUAUUUUUACUUAAGAUAACAAACUUUAAUAAGUAAACUUUGUGAAUUGACUAAUUUUCAGCUAACAUUGAAAAUAUAAGGAGACUCCUGCAUUAGCAGUACUCAAAAGAGCAUGCAUGUACUCACCUCUUUCAAAAUAGACAAUUCCUUUAUACAGAACUAUUUAUUCAUUUUAGCAUAUAUGUUAAUUUUUAGUUAUUUAUUUAUUUCAAGGAUAUCCCAGAAAACGGAAGCUAGCUAGACCAGGAAUUAAUUUGGCCAAAAGACAGAUCUUCAUAGGAUGGAGUGAAAAUUAUUUCAUUAAACUUAUGACAGCAUGGUUGUUCCUGGUGGAAGAAGCUAUUUUAUGGGUUCAGUUCUGCAGGAGUGUGGAAAGCUGCAGUAAGAGAUGAGUAGAUCUGCCGGCAGGAUACUGAGGAGGAUAUGUUGUUAAAUGUGAUAGGAAGGUGAGCAGAUUAGGUACUGCAGUUUGGUUUGCAAUAGAGAAUAGUGUGCUGAUUACAUGUCAUGUGAGGCUAAACUGUUGGAUGUGAGAGUUAAUAUUUCAUGGAAACCAUGGAAGCCUGUUCUGUGUGUAGCCAAGUUUCAUGUAUUUCUGUGCUUUUUUUUUUUUUUUUUUCUGAAUGCAUUUCUCAAGUACACUUGAAUAAGCCACUGGUUUUACCUGGUACCAGGAUCAAAUGAAAAUACUUUACCUAGCUGCUGUGCAUAUCAGUUCUGCACAUUGGAUUGUACUUUAAGUACCUGUGUUCUAGCCAUACUCUUUUUUUCUGCAUAUCACAGUCACCAUCUCCCUCGGUCAUUGAUGUUCAGAGCUGAUUAACUGCAAUUUUGGAGCAUGGCAGCCAGACUCCAGGACAUCCAGAAUCAUGCCUCUGUCUCUGGUGAGCAACUGGUCCCCAGAGCAAGGUGAAAAAAUCAUCUGCAUGGAUCAUUACAGAUGGAACUAACCACAGGGAGAAUGUCUGAUUUUCUUACAUGUCAUUUAAUGCCUUGAUAUAUAUUUUCAUAUCUAUUUUUAUCAUUAGAUAUUUUGUUAAUAAUCCUAUACCUAUUGAGUCCUGGUAAACUGUCACUUCAAUUCUCUCAGAAAAGUGAGAAAAAAUAUGAAAAAAAAAAAAUGCAUAUUUCUUUUCCUGUAUGAAUGUGUGCCCCUAAAUUUCUU
Molecule: non-coding RNA, 3250 nt
Organism: Anas platyrhynchos (mallard)
Lineage: Eukaryota; Metazoa; Chordata; Aves; Anseriformes; Anatidae
Source: RefSeq, a predicted model, not a curated record